This 429-nucleotide ribosomal RNA is filed under the name Bacteroidota bacterium. RNAcentral describes it as "Bacteroidetes bacterium partial 16S ribosomal RNA". It matches the Rfam family "Bacterial small subunit ribosomal RNA", at positions 355 to 776 of the family's 1533-position model. Lineage: Bacteria; Pseudomonadati; Bacteroidota. The record is from RNAcentral.
UAGGGAAUCUUCGGCAAUGGGGGGAACCCUGACCGAGCAACGCCGCGUGAGUGAAGAAGGUUUUCGGAUCGUAAAGCUCUGUUGUUAAGGAAGAACGAGUGUGAGAAUGGAAAGUUCAUACUGUGACGGUACUUAACCAGAAAGGGACGGCUAACUACGUGCCAGCAGCCGCGGUAAUACGUAGGUCCCGAGCGUUGUCCGGAUUUAUUGGGCGUAAAGCGAGCGCAGGCGGUUAGAUAAGUCUGAAGUUAAAGGCAGUGGCUCAACCAUUGUAGGCUUUGGAAACUGUUUAACUUGAGUGCAGAAGGGGAGAGUGGAGUUCCAUGUGUAGCGGUGAAAUGCGUAGAUAUAUGGAGGAACACCGGUGGCGAAAGCGGCUCUCUGGUCUGUAACUGACGCUGAGGCUCGAAAGCGUGGGGAGCGAACAGG